AACGAACGCUGGCGGCAUGCCUAACACAUGCAAGUCGAACGAGAUCUUCGGGUCUAGUGGCGCACGGGUGCGUAACGCGUGGGAAUCUGCCCUUUGGUUCGGAAUAACAGUUGGAAACGACUGCUAAUACCGGAUGAUGACGAAAGUCCAAAGAUUUAUCGCCAGAGGAUGAGCCCGCGUAGGAUUAGCUAGUUGGUGUGGUAAAGGCGCACCAAGGCGACGAUCCUUAGCUGGUCUGAGAGGAUGAUCAGCCACACUGGGACUGAGACACGGCCCAGACUCCUACGGGAGGCAGCAGUGGGGAAUAUUGGACAAUGGGCGAAAGCCUGAUCCAGCAAUGCCGCGUGAGUGAUGAAGGCCUUAGGGUUGUAAAGCUCUUUUACCCGGGAUGAUAAUGACAGUAGCGGGGGAAUAAGCUCCGGCUAACUCCGUGCCAGCCGCCGCUGUAA
RNAcentral lists this ribosomal RNA (449 nucleotides) under uncultured bacterium. RNAcentral's name for it is "partial 16S ribosomal RNA". It matches the Rfam family "Bacterial small subunit ribosomal RNA", at positions 29 to 523 of the family's 1533-position model. The record is from RNAcentral.